UACAGAGGGUGCAGGCGUUAAUCGGAAUUACUGGGCGUAAAGCGUGCGUAGACGGUUAUUUAAGUCAGGUGUGAAAGCCCAGGGCUCAACCUUGGAAUUGCAUUUGAGACUGAAUAGCUAGGGUGCGGAAGAGGGAAGCGGAAUUUCCGGUGUAGCGGUGAAAUGCGUAGAUAUCGGAAGGAACACCAGUGGCGAAAGCGGCUUCCUGGUCCAGCACCGACGUUCAGGCACGAAAGCGUGGGGAGCAAACAGG
This 253-nucleotide ribosomal RNA is filed under the name uncultured bacterium. Its description in RNAcentral is "partial 16S ribosomal RNA". It matches the Rfam family "Bacterial small subunit ribosomal RNA", at positions 524 to 776 of the family's 1533-position model. The record is from RNAcentral.